GGAAACGUGGCUCAAUGGUAGAGUGCUUGCCUCGCAUGCAUGAGGCCCUGGGUUCGAUUCCUCAGUACCA
This 70-nucleotide transfer RNA is filed under the name Dipodomys ordii (Ord's kangaroo rat). It matches the Rfam family "tRNA". Rfam says of the family: Transfer RNA (tRNA) molecules are approximately 80 nucleotides in length. The record is from Rfam by way of RNAcentral. Lineage: Eukaryota; Metazoa; Chordata; Mammalia; Rodentia; Heteromyidae.